Apodemus sylvaticus (European woodmouse) is the source of this 888-nucleotide long non-coding RNA. RefSeq lists it as uncharacterized. The record is from RefSeq and is a predicted model, not a curated record. The transcript has 3 exons. NCBI's taxonomy places the organism in Eukaryota, Metazoa, Chordata, Mammalia, Rodentia, Muridae.
UAGAGGAAGCAGCAACGUGAGGGCUUAUGGGAGAAGAGCCGCAUAAGGGCAGAGCCCUGCAUGCAAACUGCAAGAAAGGGUCUGCUGUGGUAAGACCAGGACGCCUGUGAGGAAGGGCGUAAGGGGAAGAUGAGAGUGACAUGUGUCAAACUGCUUGACUUGCCGUGAAAUGAGAAAAUCCUGACUCUCCAAUGGUCCCAGGAUCUCUCUCAGAUACUCUCUCUAACUUUCCCCCCUCGGGAUCAGUCUGUUUUACUGGAUGCCAGGCACACAUCACAACUGCCCUCCCCUCCACAGGAACAAUGAAAACCUGAGCUCCUCAAGGCUAACUUUGCAUCCAGGGACGGAGCUAGGUCACCUCCAAGCAGACGUUAAAGUGAAGAGGUAGAGAGCCCGUUGGCCACACGCCGUGCACUCUCUUUAUCCCACACUGUACAACAUUUCCAAUCUUAUUCAAUAAUUUAAUAUACAUUUUCUUGUCAAGCUUCUUGGCAGCCGGCUAUGCAGCUUGCAAGAUGGACUGAGAAUGCCACAGGUGGGCUGAUUAGCGGGUGGCAUUUCUGAAUUCGAACAAGCUGUUAGCAUUAUGUCUGUUUGCUUUAGGUACAGAUGUGAAAUGAUUUGACAGUAGAUUUCAAAAGUGUGUGAGUACAUUUUUUGUAUGUCAAACUAUGGAAAUCUGUUUUUUUUUUAAAUUUCACACAUUGAUGGUAUGUAUUGUAUUUAUUAAUUUCAGAAAGUAUAUGCCGUUGGCAUGGCAUAAAAAUUAAAAAGCACUAUCCAUAAUGUAUAAAAUGAACAGAUUGGAUAAGCACCCACCCCCAGUUAAUCAGAAAGUCUUAUCUCGUGCUUGAGAAGAAGUCAGAGGUUGGAAUAUCAUAGCCAGAA